This 96-nucleotide signal recognition particle RNA is filed under the name Planctomycetota bacterium. Its description in RNAcentral is "Planctomycetes bacterium (subsurface metagenome) signal recognition particle sRNA small type". It matches the Rfam family "Bacterial small signal recognition particle RNA". From Rfam's summary of the family: The signal recognition particle (SRP) is a universally conserved ribonucleoprotein involved in the co-translational targeting of proteins to membranes. Archaeal SRP consists of a 7S RNA and homologues of the eukaryotic SRP19 and SRP54 proteins. In most bacteria, the SRP consists of a 4.5S RNA and the Ffh protein (a homologue of the eukaryotic SRP54 protein). The record is from RNAcentral. Lineage: Bacteria; Pseudomonadati; Planctomycetota.
GUCCGGUCCCACGUGAUGGAUCGGGUUCGAACCGGGUCAGACCGGGAACGGAGCAGCCCUAAGGACUUUGGUCCAGGCACGAGGUGCCCGGGCCCU